GAUGAACGCUGGCGGCGUGCCUAAUACAUGCAAGUCGAGCGAACGGACGAGAAGCUUGCUUCUCUGAUGUUAGCGGCGGACGGGUGAGUAAAACGUGGAUAACCUACCUAUAAGACUGGGAUAACUUCGGGAAACCGGAGCUAAUACCGGAUAAUAUUUUGAACCGCAUGGUUCAAAAGUGAAAGAUGGUCUUGCUGUUACUUAUAGAUGGAUCCGCGCUGCAUUAGCUAGUUGGUAAGGUAACGGCUUACCAAGGCAACGAUGCAUAGCCGACCUGAGAGCGUGAUCGUCCACACUAGAACUGAGACACGGUCCAGACUCCUACGGGAAGCAGCAGUAGGGAAUCUUCCGCAAUGGGCGAAAGCCUCACGGAGCAACGCCGCGUGAGUGAUGAAGGUCUUCGGAUCGUAAAACUCUGUUAUUAGGGAAGAACAUAUGUGUAAGUAACUGUGCACAUCUUGACGGUACCUAAUCAGAAAGCCACGACUAACUACGUG
RNAcentral lists this ribosomal RNA (497 nucleotides) under uncultured bacterium. Its description in RNAcentral is "partial 16S ribosomal RNA". It matches the Rfam family "Bacterial small subunit ribosomal RNA", at positions 28 to 507 of the family's 1533-position model. The record is from RNAcentral.